UACGUAGGGGUCGAGCGUUGUCCGGAGUUACUGGGCGUAAAGCGCAUGCAGGCGGCUCAUUACGCACGGCGUGAAAGCCCCCGGCUCAACCGGGGAGGGUCGUCGUGUACGGGUGAGCUUGAGGGUAUCAGGGGCUGGUGGAAUUCCCGGUGUAGUGGUGAAAUGCGUAGAGAUCGGGAGGAACACCUGUGGCGAAGGCGGCCAGCUGGGAUACACCUGACGCUGAGAUGCGAAGGCGUGGGGAGCGAAC
Molecule: ribosomal RNA, 250 nt
Filed under: uncultured bacterium
Lineage: Bacteria
Description: partial 16S ribosomal RNA
Rfam family: Bacterial small subunit ribosomal RNA
Source: RNAcentral